AUAUGCCCCAUGUCUACGUGGCUUAGCUGAAGCUGACACGGACAUGGCAGAGAAGAAAAUGAGAGAACCCCACAGCACCUAACCCGUGGCAUGGCAUGAAAUGGGCAUAUCCACUGAGAUCCCGACACGUAAACACAAUGGAUGUUUAGGGUGCGUAUUACGCAUGCGGUGUAGAAUAGAGUGGGGUCGGAGGCUUGCGGGCGGUUGGUAAAAAUGUUGAAACCGUACUGAUCAUAUGGUGAGGACCACUUUUACUGCCUCGUGCAUCUAAUCAUUCCGGGGAAUUCUUAUCAGCUUCCUUUUAUUCUCACUUCUACCCAUUAUUAUUAUUAUUAUUAUUAUUAUUAUUACAACCACUAACAAAGGACGGUGUUGUUCACUUCCUACCACAACAAUGUUUACUGAAAUCGUG
RNAcentral lists this long non-coding RNA (412 nucleotides) under Populus trichocarpa (black cottonwood). RNAcentral's name for it is "long non-coding RNA (PTRI_LNC002681)". Lineage: Eukaryota; Viridiplantae; Streptophyta; Magnoliopsida; Malpighiales; Salicaceae. The record is from RNAcentral.